GGGGCGAGCAACUGUAAACAUCCUCGACUGAAAGCUGUGCUCCGCUGCUGUGAAAGGGCUUUCAGUCAGAUGUUUGCGUUUGCCGCGUG
Molecule: microRNA precursor, 89 nt
Filed under: Petromyzon marinus (sea lamprey)
Lineage: Eukaryota; Metazoa; Chordata; Hyperoartia; Petromyzontiformes; Petromyzontidae
Description: microRNA pma-mir-30c precursor
Gene: pma-mir-30c
Rfam family: mir-30 microRNA precursor family
About the family: This family consists of the mammalian microRNA (miRNA) precursor mir-30a. Animal miRNAs are transcribed as ~70nt precursors and subsequently processed by the Dicer enzyme to give a ~22nt product.
Source: miRBase by way of RNAcentral